This is a non-coding RNA of Schistosoma rodhaini, 45 nucleotides long. NCBI's taxonomy places the organism in Eukaryota, Metazoa, Platyhelminthes, Trematoda, Strigeidida, Schistosomatidae. The record is from Rfam.
GUCCAGCUGAAGAGUCUCAAAUAGGACGGAACGUGUGUCUUAGAU